GCAAGUAGAACGGUAACAGGAAUAGCUUGCUAUUCGCUGACGAGUUUCGAACGGGUGCGUAACGCGUAUGCAACCUACCCUUAACAGGGGGAUAGCCUUCCGAAAGGAAGAAUAAUAUCCCAUAAUAUAAUUGAAUGGCAUCAUUUAAUUAUUAAAGCUCCGGCGGUUAAGGAUGGGCAUGAGUGUGAUUAGUUAGUUGGUGAGGUAACGGCUCACCAAGACUACGAUGACUAGGGGGUCUGAGAGGAGUAGC
RNAcentral lists this ribosomal RNA (253 nucleotides) under uncultured bacterium. Its description in RNAcentral is "partial 16S ribosomal RNA". It matches the Rfam family "Bacterial small subunit ribosomal RNA", at positions 57 to 305 of the family's 1533-position model. The record is from RNAcentral.